CCUCCCUAUACGAUUUAGAACUUAUUUGUUCGUAGUGUCCACACAGAUGAUUGUUAGUUAGCUAAGCCACUGGCUUACCUAAUUAAUAUGCUCUUUAAAAAUUUGGAAAAGCUGAUAAUAAAAUUCGUAUAGAUAACAGUUGUUAUUUAUACAGAGUUUUCAAAAGUAAAAAAAUGCCAUUGAUUAUUCAGACGAAUAAUGAAUUGGUAUCUACUUUAGUAUUCAAUAUUAACUUCUGGCGAAGUUAAACUGUCACUAACAAAGACCCGUUUGGGUUGUAUGGUUAAGUGACUAAGCGUACACGGUGGAUGCA
RNAcentral lists this unclassified non-coding RNA (313 nucleotides) under uncultured Pseudoalteromonas sp. Its description in RNAcentral is "partial 16S-23S ribosomal RNA intergenic spacer". The record is from RNAcentral. Lineage: Bacteria; Pseudomonadati; Pseudomonadota; Gammaproteobacteria; Alteromonadales; Pseudoalteromonadaceae.